AUUGAACGCUGGCGGCAGGCCUAACACAUGCAAGUCGAACGGUAACAGGAAACAGCUUGCUGUUUCGCUGACGAGUGGCGGACGGGUGAGUAAUGUCUGGGAAACUGCCUGAUGGAGGGGGAUAACUACUGGAAACGGUAGCUAAUACCGCAUAACGUCGCAAGACCAAAGAGGGGGACCUUCGGGCCUCUUGCCAUCGGAUGUGCCCAGAUGGGAUUAGCUAGUAGGUGGGGUAACGGCUCACCUAGGCGACGAUCCCUAGCUGGUCUGAGAGGAUGACCAGCCACCCUGGAACUGAAACACGGUCCAGACUCCUACGGGAGGCAGCAGUGGGGAAUAUUGCACAAUGGGCGCAAGCCUGAUGCAGCCAUGCCGCGUGUAUGAAGAAGGCCUUCGGGUUGUAAAGUACUUUCAGCGGGGAUGAAGGGAGUAAAGUUAAUACCUUUGCUCAUUGACGUUACCCGCAGAAGAAGCACCGGCUAACUCCGUG
RNAcentral lists this ribosomal RNA (490 nucleotides) under uncultured bacterium. RNAcentral describes it as "partial 16S ribosomal RNA". It matches the Rfam family "Bacterial small subunit ribosomal RNA", at positions 30 to 507 of the family's 1533-position model. The record is from RNAcentral.